This 552-nucleotide long non-coding RNA is filed under the name Equus caballus (horse). Its description in RNAcentral is "lncRNA (ENSECAG00000045582.1)". The record is from RNAcentral. Lineage: Eukaryota; Metazoa; Chordata; Mammalia; Perissodactyla; Equidae.
AUUUGUAAAGUUUUUUAGAAAUUGAGCAAAGGAACAUUUUAUCCAUUUGUCAGAACUGUGAGCUCUGCCUCAAUUGCAUUAGCUUUUUAUUCAUUUUUAAGUGACUGAAUUGAUGAAAACAAAUUCCUUGUGAAGUCUCGCCAAAAGGCGUCAGGGGAAACGGCAUCUGUUCAUGUUCUGGAUCCGCGUUCACAUUCUGACGGAGGAGCUUCAUGUCAAAACCAGUAUCCCCGUGGUAUGAAGUCCUCUUAUUGUCAGCUAUUCAGUUGCUACUAGAGACUACAGGAGGUGACAGAGCUAGGGUUUGCAUCCAGAUCUGCUUAACUUCAAACCUAUGCCCUUUCUGCCCGGACUUCCCGUGGAUGUGCUUGGGGACAGGGUUGGAGCUCCAGCACCUAGCUCUGCGUUGACAUCAGCUUCAAAAGAAUCUUUUCAGACACCAUAACCCCUCACAUGAGGGAAACAAUAGAAAGAAUAAACAAAUGGGACUUCAUCAGACUAAAGAGCUUCUUCAAGGCGAGGGAAAACAGGAUUGAACCAAAAAAACAGCCC